UACAGAGGUCUCAAGCGUUGUUCGGAUUCAUUGGGCGUAAAGGGUGCGUAGGUGGCGGGGCAAGUCUGGUGUGAAAUCCCGGGGCUCAACCCUGGAACUGCACUGGAUACUGCUUUGCUAGAGUACUGGAGAGGAACUGGAAUUUACGGUGUAGCAGUGAAAUGCGUAGAUAUCGUAAGGAAGACCAGUGGCGAAGGCGAGUUCCUGGACAGUUACUGACACUGAGGCACGAAGGCCAGGGGAGCAAACGGG
Molecule: ribosomal RNA, 252 nt
Filed under: uncultured bacterium
Lineage: Bacteria
Description: partial 16S ribosomal RNA
Rfam family: Bacterial small subunit ribosomal RNA
Source: RNAcentral